Molecule: long non-coding RNA, 5150 nt
Filed under: Sus scrofa (pig)
Lineage: Eukaryota; Metazoa; Chordata; Mammalia; Artiodactyla; Suidae
Description: lncRNA (ENSSSCG00000059564.1)
Source: RNAcentral
CCCUCCUUCCCUCUGCCAGCCUCCCCAUGCAGACAACACUGUGUGGUGGGAACCGUGCAGGCUGGGGGACCUGAAGACUUGGGGUUUGACUCUUGGUUCAGUUUCUCAUUGGCACCUUCUGAGCCUCCGUUUCUUCAGCUGCUGAGAGAAGGUAAGAGCCUUCUGCAGUACUUUCUGGGGAAUCGGUGCACGAAUGGAGAGGAACGUUGUGCUCGUCUGAUUCAGGGGCUCACAUGAAAGGUUUAUCUCUGGAGACCUUUCCCCUCCUACGCAAUGCCCACCUCGAUAGACAAAAAUCCAGUCCUCUUCUUCUUGUGUGUCAUUUAUGUUGGCGUUUCCUGACUGUCACAACACACAAGUUGAGAAAUAAGUUGUCAGCAAUAAAAUGGGAAAGCAGUACAGGAUAAGUAUUAGGAGUGAGGGUUCUGGAGUCCACCUGCUUGAGCUCCUUCCUGGCUCUGGCUCCUGACCAGCCCGGUUGGGCAAAUAAUCUCAGCCUCAGGGUCCGUCUGGAUCAAAGGGAAUAAUAGCACCUAUUUCAGCGGGGUGAUCCCGGCAGCACACUUAGAUGUCAGGGCAGACAAUCGAUGCUCAACAGACUUCAGCUUAUUAUUAUUACCAGUUACAAAGACAGAAAUUUAGAAAUCUCAUUUUUAAACAUCAACCCUGAUUCAAGUUUCUCAUGUCCCUCCUUGCAUUCUGAGCAGACAAAAAACCAGAGCAGAGCCAAAGCUAUAAGCCAAGAAAUGCUCAGAGUCCUAGGAAUGCCCCUGGAGUGUCAAGCAUGUGAGUGGCAUGUGACAUCUGGUGUCCAAACUCAAAUAAUAACAUAUGUAUAUAGUGUUUGAUAUGCCAGGCAUUAUUGUAGAUGUUAUGCUUAUUAAUUCAUUUCAUCUUUGCCAGCAUUCCAUCAAGUACUAUUAUUGCCAUUUCAUAAGUGAAGAAAACUGGGCAGAGAGGCAAAAUGAUUUUCCUAAGGUGGAAUUAGUGCUGGAGUCAGGAAUUGAACCCAGGGAGUCUGGCUAUAAAGUUUUCCCUCUGUGCUCUACUGUAAUACAGACAAGUGGAGAAAUCCACUCAUUUUAGUAUUGUGUUCAUGAUUAAAGAACUUAAAAUUGAUCGUUAGAGCACAACUGGGGUGUAAGAUCAUUCACAAUUUCUGCAUUCCCUUCGGAAUUCCAGUUGUAUGUUUAAUCAGAUAAAGUAUAAGCCUUUGGGUUUCAGCCCCACCCCACACCACCCCUGGCAGCUGGGCUUUGGGGAAGAGCAAGGGUAGCGGAGGCACUUUCCAACCUCCCUGUGGUGGAGAAACUUCUAAGAUGACCCCCAGUGAGUCAUACUUUUAUGUAACCCUCUCCCCUGGAGGGCGGGUGGUACCCAUGACUGGCUUCUCACCAACAGAGUGAUGCUGAGGGUGAUGGACAUCACCCCUGUGGUUGUAUUCAAGGGAAAAUUUCCUGCUGACCUGGAAGAUGGAAGCCACCUUGUUGUGAGGGGGCCACUGUAAGGCCCUGAGGGGCAGCCCCCACGACAGGCAGCAGGAACAUGGGGCCAUCAGUCCUACAGCCACAAGGAACUGAAUUCUGCCAACAACCUUGAAAGCUUGGAGGAUGCCGCCAAGAUCCAGAAAGGAACACAUCCCACACACACCUUGAUGGCAGCCUUGUGAGACCCUGAGAAAAGGACCCAGUUAAACCGUGUCUUGACUCCUGACCCACAGAAACUAUAACAAAAACAAAAAUGUGCUGUCCUGAGCCUCUUGAGUUUCUGAUCAUUGAUUAUACAGCUGUAGAAAAGCACAUCACUUUUGUCAUCAUGCAGGUGGAGAAGUUGGACUUGACAAGACUAGACAAUACCAGAGGGAUUAAAAACCCAACCUUCUAACUCAUCUAACCCCUUAGUGCAAAAGGGUGUCUUCCAGGCAUUAAAAUAAAAGGAGAAAUAUGGGCAGAUUCCCUACCUAGGAUCACAAAUAUACCAACAGAGAGCUCUUUUUUUUCCCCUCAAAUGGGCAUUUUUCCUGUUUUGCAAGGCUGUAGACUUUGAAGGGCAGAGAACACCCCAGGAGUCUCUCUCAUCCACUUGCCUGGCUCCAGGAAGGGCCUCAUUUAAAUCGCAUUUAAAUGAAGGGGUGUCUCAUUACUUCAGUUUCUCCCUUGACAUCCCCGAGACUUAAAACCUUCAACCUCAGAAAAUUCUGUCCAUUGGAAGGUCUCCUUCCUAAGUCUGCUUUCCUCUGGCUCCUUCUUGGAGCAGCAGAAGGCACGCUGUCUGCAUUGUAUUGCAAAGUAACACUUCAUAUAUUUGAAGGCAGAUAAAUCCUUCUUAAUGCUCGUCUUCCUGAGGCCACAAUUCCCUCUCCAGGACACUGGAGUGUGUGAAGCCUCAACCACAUGAAGUCAAAAUUCUCUACCAGCCUGGGGGGUGGGGGGGGAAAUCAGAGAUGCUCUUUGACCACAGUGUAGCUGAAGAGAGCCCCAGAGGUUAUUUGAGGGUAAAAAGAUUAGGAACCAAAAACAGGGACGUAUUAAGGCACCGAGAGCUAGUGAAAAUUCUUCUUGAGGACUUAAGCACGUGCCGGCAGAUGAAAUAUUCACGAAUUCUUCCAGAAAAAAAAAAAUAGCAUGGUUGUUGUAAGGAGAAAUUUAAGUUGAAGAGGGAGAUGAUUAAUUUUAAUCAGUGGUUCUCAAAGUGUGAUUCCAGGGCCAGCAGGCUGAGCAUCUCUGGCAUCUUCAUUUUCUAGGGUGGCCGAAAUGGAUUAUCACAAGCAGGUGACUUCAAAUGACAACUUCAUUACCUCACAGUUCUGGGGGCUAAAGGUUAAGAUCAAGGUAUAGGCAGGGCCAUGCUCUUUCUCAAGUCACUAGAAGAAGAUCCGUCCCAGGUCUCUCAGUUUGUGGUGCUGCUUCCUGUCACUGGUGGGUCUUUGCUUGUAGACACAUCACUCCAGGCUCUGCCUCUGCUGUCACAUGGCUUCUCCCCUGUCUCUGGGUCUCUUCUCCUUUUAAGGACACCAGUCAAUUGGGCUAAUGAUCCACCCUACUCCAGUAAAGCUUUUUCUUAAUUACUUCCAUUUGAAAUGGCCCCAUUUCCAAAGAAGGUCCCAUUCUGAAGUUGUGGGAAAGGCAUGCAAUGUGAGGGACGGGGGACACUGAUUCAUUCAUUACUCCCGGAUAUCAGUUAUAAAUGUAAAUUCCUGGGCCCCACCUAGUCAAUCAGAGACUCUGAAGAGGGUUCCACCAAGCUCCUUUAACAAUAUCUCCAGGUGAUUCUGAUGCUUGGAUGUUUUAAAAGAGGCACCGAUGUGGAUAUAACUGAAGCAUUUUCCAAAGUGACCUUGACUUAAGUUCAGAAAUCCAGAUGUAGGAGGGUCUCCUCAGUGACAUGGAAAGUGGGCCACUUCACCUGAGAUCAGGUCUGUGACUUUAUCGUGGUGGGGAAACAUUAUUUUGCUAGGGGUACACUCAGAGGGUGCCUUGCACUUACAUAUCAAGAUCCAAUGCGUGACUUUUCUGUCAUCAGGCACUCAGGGACAGCCCAAGAAAAGCUGAGUGGAGAAAGACUCUGAUCUUGGCUCAUGGUUCAUAAGGAGCCCUCAGCCCCCAUGAAAGGACUCACCCUUGCUCGUAGCAGCACAAUGGAUCCCAAAGGAAGCAACCUCCAGAAUCCCAACAAAGCCCCAAGAACCAGUCUGAGACUGAGAAGUGGCCAACCCCGAGUCAAGGCAGCCCAGGAGGAAAACACACCAGCUCUGAGAGCACAGGAGGGGGAGAAGCAUCCCUAAAGCAAACAGUCCCAGCUCCCCCUUUGCUGAAUAAACACACCUGCUGGGAUGCUAGACGAAGCUCCCGAAUUUUAGUACUGUCAGCACAACUUCCUGGCAGCCUGCAAAGCCUCAGUGCUGUAUCCUUCAGACUUGCUGAGCUUUCACUGCAGAGUGUGGCCUGGAGACUUUGACUGCCUCUCCGGGUGCAGUAAAUGAGGGGACAUGAAAAGAACCUAAGAGCGUGUUCAAAAACGCCCCUCACCCGGUGUGUAAUGGAAACUCAUCACAGCAAAAAUAAAUGGCAGGGCCUCCUUUGGGGAUUCUGCACUGCUGCCUCGUGCCUGGGUUUCUAUUCUUCUGGAAGGAAUUAGGCAGCAAUGUCGGCUCUUGCACAGGCUGCGGGCUCAGGUUUCCCAGACAAUAUCCUGACUUUGGACGCAUGUGUCUCAGCAAGAUAUGUGUCCCUCGGCGUGGGAGAGUAUGAGGGCUGCUUGGUGGCUCGUUAGAAGACUGAAUGUAUUCAACAAGGCAGCAGUUUUUAUUUUUAAAAUCCAGGGUCUGACUCAAACAUGCCUGGAGGAAUAAUACUGCUUGCUACACCUCGAUUUUAGGCAGACUUAGUCCUCCUAAAAGCUUAAAAGAGAAAUGAGGCCAUUUAGAACACUGAGUAUUGCUUAGAUUCUGCUGCUUUUUUAUAGGUGCUUUGCAAUUUGGAGAGUUCUGUACCUCAGUGGUGUGGAUGCUAUGGUUAGGGACCACAACCACAAGUAUGUUCUGGGGUUGGGGGGUGAAUGGUACCUACCCCAGAGGUUAGGAGAUGGGGCCAAUCACCCUCUCUGGGUGUCAUUCAUCUUGCCACCUCCUUCCACCCCAUUCACCCCGCCUCCCUCCCUGCCCCUCACCUCCCCUCAACCAACACACUGAGGGCGUCAGCCAGAGACGGCCAAGGCUUUUAUACUCCUCUUGCCCUAUGACCACUGCUCACAGGCACCCCUGUCUGAUGCCACAUUCUGUUUCCAGCGGGUGGGCACACAAAGGGGCAGGAGAGGCCUGUCUUCCCCAACCCACCCUCCACCCUUACUGAGCCAGAGGAAGAAAAAGGCACUUAGGACUCCAGGGCCAAGAAGGAAACCAGCCCAAUAGAAGUGUUUCUCCAGAAGUAAAUGAGCCCUUGGGACAAAAGGCUGGCUUUGCUGCACCGACAGCUUCCAAAUAUCCACACCCGGCCCAGCCCAGUCUCGGGCAUCCCCACAGCAGCUGUGAGUUCAAGUUCAGGAGGGGGUUAUCCUGUGAAAAACACCCCAUGUCCAUGGGUUCUGAGGUUCUGAAACACCUGGCAGACCUUAUGAGAGAUUAGCCAUCAAUCACUAAUGUCAAAGCCAAG